CGCCUUCUGAUUGGAAGACGCGGAGGAGUAGGCGUGCCCGUUGCAAGAUCCUGAAACGUGAUUGGAUCGCGUCUGUUCUCGCAUCAGAGAUGGACGCGCUCGUGAGCUGCUCCACUGCGUUGCGUUCGGUUCUCCGUUCAUUCCGUUAACCGUUACCUAACGGCGAUCCUCAGCGCGUUUAAUUAAAACAGACGCAGUUCGUCGUUUUCCAUCAUAGGAUCUCAAGCCAGCAGGAUGGCAGGCGCAGCGGCUCGCGGCACGGGCUGCGUGACGCUCCGCGGCGCUCAGAUCCGGGACCUGCUGGACGCUAAACACAACGUGCUGUUCGACUGCGACGGCGUCAUCUGGAACGGAGAAACCGCCGUUACCGGAGCUCCGGAGGUGGUCAGUCUGCUCAAGCAGCGCGGCAAGCGCGUGUUCUUCGUCACCAACAACUGCACCAGGCCGCGGGAGAACUACGUGCAGAAGUUCAGCCGCCUCGGCUUCACGGACGUCGCGGAGGAGGAGAUCUUCAGCUCGGCGUACUGCUCCGCCGCGUACCUGCGCGAUGUGGCGCGGCUGCAGGGGAAGGUGUACGUGAUCGGCUGCGGCGGGGUGAUGAAGGAGCUGCGGGACGCCGGGGUGCCGGUGGCGGAGGAGGAGGACGCGGAGCCGGGCGCCAGCAUCUACAACUGCCCGCUGGACCCGGAUGUGAAGGCGGUGCUGGUGGGAUACGACGAGAACUUCACCUUCAUGAAGCUCGCCAAAGCCUGCUGCUACCUGAGGAGCCCCGAGUGCCUGUUCCUGGCCACUGACCCGGACCCCUGGCACCCGCUGAGAGGAGGCAGGGUCACCCCAGGGUCCGGCAGCCUCACCGCCGCUCUGGAGACGGCCAGCAGCAGGAAGGCCACGGUCAUCGGGAAGCCCAGCCGCUUCAUGUUCGAGUGCAUCUCCAGUCAGUUCGGUCUGGACCCGGCGCGCUCGCUGAUGAUCGGAGACCGGCUGGAGACGGACGUUCUGUUCGGCAGCAACUGCGGCCUGACCACGGUGCUCACGCUGACGGGCGUCUCCACGCUGGAGGAGGCGCUCGCGUACAGAGACGGCCAGGAGCCGCAGCAGAAGGACUGCGUGCCUGAUUACGUGAUGGAAUCUGUGGCUGAUUUCCUGCAGGCGCUGGAGGAGUGACGGCUACAGCUGCGAUCUCCAUGCUGUGUCUCCACACGGACUGGGAGUAAAUCGGGACGGAUGCUGUCAAACUCCAGUCUUUGAAAAGCAGUCGUCCAUGAGACGAGCUCUGUGUGAUGAGACUGCAGGAGGCUUUCUGUCUCGUUUGGAUCUUAAUGACACUCAUCCUGAUUCCCUUUCACUGAAUGAAGUAUUGUGGGAAUAUUCUGCUCAUCCUCCUUUGUGUUCCACAGAAGAAAUAAAUUCAUCAGGGUUUGGAGUAAAGCUGCUUCAUUCUCCCCCAACAGCUGCUCAGAAGACAAUCGAGUACCUUUCCUUGAUCCUAGCGUGAGUUUCUGAUGAAGUUAACAGCAUUGGUGAUUAGUUAAGUCUAGUUAAAGCACUGUGCCAGUUGAAAUCUCUACUUAGUAAUGGGACUGUUCAGAGCAGUUUGACCAACACAGACUCAUUUUAUGUGCCAACCACUGUAUGUGUUUUUAUUUUGAAUCAUUUUUAUUGAGAUUGAAUUGAAUUAGUGUUGUUUGACUGAGAUCUGCUGCUCACUUGUUUGUUGAUUGGGUUUUAACUGCCUUUAUUAACACAAGUGACCUUUUUGACCGGAGUAGUUGAUGUUUGAGAGCUGUGUGUUAUUCAGUGGUUCGUCUUCAUAUAAAGCUCAAAACCGUGAAAAAUGAAACAUCUGCAAAUCUAAUGUGCCAAAAUCAUCCCGCGUGAAACCACUGAAUAUGAACCUGCAUGUAUGAGAAGAUGAAAUCAUAUUGUGUUUUUGAUUCUGGUCAGUCAGCUGUUCAUUGAAACUGGAGCGUUUUGUCAUGAAAACAAUCCUGAGUGAUUUCUGCUAAUUGUUCAUUGUCUUUAGACUUUGUGUCCAUUAUAAAUCUGAUUAUAUUAUAUCGAAGACAAACAUGCAUCUGAAGUCAGCUGUGAACUGGUUUUGAUUUAAUGCUCUCUCUGUGUUGUGAAUUCACUUUUGUAGAAAUAAAAAUAUGGCUUGUAUCUUA
RNA transcript from Cyprinus carpio (common carp), 2165 nucleotides. It is a transcript of the gene named pyridoxal (pyridoxine, vitamin B6) phosphatase, with no coding region annotated. The record is from RefSeq and is a predicted model, not a curated record. Lineage: Eukaryota; Metazoa; Chordata; Actinopteri; Cypriniformes; Cyprinidae. The transcript is spliced from 4 exons.